This 181-nucleotide ribosomal RNA is filed under the name uncultured bacterium. RNAcentral's name for it is "partial 16S ribosomal RNA". It matches the Rfam family "Bacterial small subunit ribosomal RNA", at positions 1321 to 1500 of the family's 1533-position model. The record is from RNAcentral.
CGAAGUCGGAAUUGCUAGUAAUGGCAGGUCAGCAUACUGCCGUGAAUACGUUCCCGGGCCUUGUACACACCGCCCGUCACACCAUGAGAGUUAGGAAUACCCGAAGCCUGUGAGCCAACUUUAUAAGAGGCAGCAGUCGAAGGUAGAACUAAUGAUUGGGGUGAAGUCGUAACAAGGUAAC